UUUGCAGCGAUGCAGCCAGAGAGGCGAGCCGGGCUUCGCUUUCCGCAGCUGCUCUGAAGGGGAGGGGGCGUCGGACGCUGGGAAGAGGGGGAAGGGGGGAGCGCCGCCGCGGACAAGCCAGCCCCCCCUUUCUCCCGAUCCAGGCAGCCCUUGCAACUGCCUCCCGCCAGCUCCUCUCCCCCAGGUGCAAACGCUGAUGCAGUCGCUCAGGACAGGAAGACAGAACUCCUUUAGCGUCUUUCAGUGCAAGUCUGAGAUCCAAGCAGAGUUCAGCCGUCCUGGCUAGCUUGGGCAAAUUCUGCUGCCCCAUCCGCUCCAUGCACAAUGAGUUAGUUAGAAGCUGUUCAUUUAAGUCCGGAGCUCUGAUCUCCUAGUGUCAUGAGAUCAGAGCUCCCAGCUGCACCCUGCAACAGGCCCAGAUGCCAACUCUGCCCAAAUAUCUGCCCAGAAAAUACGAUCACAGGACCCAAUAGCAUCAACUACACAAUCUCUGGCUCUUAUAACCGCUCAUCCUCCAAUGUGAUAAAUGCCCUCAUGUGCCAACAAUACCCCUUUGCUCUGUACGUCGGACAAACCAGCCAACCUCUGUGCAAAAGAAUAAAUGGACACAAAUCUGACACCAAAAAUGGCAAUAUCCAGAAACCAGUAGGAGAACAAUCUACCAGGAUACUCCAUCAAGGACUUAGAGGUCAUCAUCAUAUUUCAACAGAAACAUUUCAAACGCAAAAUCCAAUGGGCAGCUGCUGAAUUGGAAUUCAUAUGUAAAUUUGACUCAGUGAGACUUGGAUUGAAUAGAGAUGGAUGGUGAUCUCAUUAUCAGAAGUAACUGCCUUUCAGGCAUUCCGUUCAGAUUCAGCCAUGGAGUGGAGGGGUCACGCCCAGCCAGGAUUGUGCAGUCCACCUCUUUCAUGACUUUUGCAACUUAUUUGCAUCUACUUCCCCCUCCCCUCACCACUCUGGCCAGUUUCUUCAUACCCUCCAUGCAUCUAAUGAAGAAAGCUGAGGUUCUCAAAAGUUUAUGCUACAAUAAAGUUGGUUAGUCUUAAAGGUG
Molecule: long non-coding RNA, 1051 nt
Organism: Eublepharis macularius
Lineage: Eukaryota; Metazoa; Chordata; Lepidosauria; Squamata; Eublepharidae
Exons: 2
Source: RefSeq, a predicted model, not a curated record